Molecule: ribosomal RNA, 253 nt
Filed under: uncultured prokaryote
Description: partial 16S ribosomal RNA
Rfam family: Bacterial small subunit ribosomal RNA
Source: RNAcentral
ACGGAGGGGGCGAGCGUUAUUCGGAAUUAUUGGGCGUAAAGGGCGCGUAGGCGGCCCGGUAAGUCAAAGGUGAAAUCCCUCGGCUCAACUGAGGAACUGCCUUUGAAACUGUCGGGCUUGAGGCCGGGAGGGGGUAGCGGAAUUCCCAGUGUAGCGGUGAAAUGCGUAGAGAUGUGGAGGAACACCAGUGGCGAAGGCGGCUUUUUGGUCUGUAACUGACGCUGAGGCGCGAAAGCGUGGGGAGCAAACAGGA